RNAcentral lists this ribosomal RNA (497 nucleotides) under uncultured bacterium. RNAcentral's name for it is "partial 16S ribosomal RNA". It matches the Rfam family "Bacterial small subunit ribosomal RNA", at positions 28 to 507 of the family's 1533-position model. The record is from RNAcentral.
GACGAACGCUGGCGGCGUGCCUAAUACAUGCAAGUAGAACGCUGAAGAGAGGAGCUUACUCUUCUUGGAUGAGUUGCGAACGGGUGAGUAACGCGUAGGUAACCUGCCUUGUAGCGGGGGAUAACUGUUGGAAACGAUAGCUAAUACCGCAUAACAAUGGAUGACACAUGUCAUUUAUUUGAAAGGGGCAAUUGCUCCACUACAAGAUGGACCUGCGUUGUAUUAGCUAGUAGGUGAGGUAAUGGCUCACCUAGGCGACGAUACAUAGCCGACCUGAGAGGGUGAUCGGCCACACUGGGACUGAGACACGGCCCAGACUCCUACGGGAGGCAGCAGUAGGGAAUCUUCGGCAAUGGGGGCAACCCUGACCGAGCAACGCCGCGUGAGUGAAGAAGGUUUUCGGAUCGUAAAGCUCUGUUGUAAGUCAAGAACGGGUGUGAGAGUGGAAAGUUCACACUGUGACGGUAGCUUACCAGAAAGGGACGGCUAACUACGUG